Molecule: ribosomal RNA, 482 nt
Filed under: uncultured bacterium
Lineage: Bacteria
Description: bacterial SSU rRNA
Rfam family: Bacterial small subunit ribosomal RNA
Source: RNAcentral
GAUGAACGCUGGCGGCGUGCUUAACACAUGCAAGUCGAACGGGAAACAUUUUAUUGAAGCUUCGGCAGAUUUGAUUUGUUUCUAGUGGCGGACGGGUGAGUAACGCGUGGGUAACCUGCCUUAUACUGGGGGAUAACAGCCAGAAAUGGCUGCUAAUACCGCAUAAGCGCACAGAACCGCAUGGUUCCGUGUGAAAAACUCCGGUGGUAUAAGAUGGACCCGCGUUGGAUUAGCUAGUUGGCAGGGCAGCGGCCUACCAAGGCGACGAUCCAUAGCCGGCCUGAGAGGGUGAACGGCCACAUUGGGACUGAGACACGGCCCAGACUCCUACGGGAGGCAGCAGUGGGGAAUAUUGCACAAUGGGGGAAACCCUGAUGCAGCGACGCCGCGUGAAGGAAGAAGUAUUUCGGUAUGUAAAACUCUAUCAGCAGGGAAGAUAAUGACGGUACCUGACUAAGAAGCACCGGCUAAAUACGUGCCAG